Ziziphus jujuba (common jujube) is the source of this 2302-nucleotide long non-coding RNA. RefSeq lists it as uncharacterized. The transcript is spliced from 3 exons. The record is from RefSeq and is a predicted model, not a curated record. Lineage: Eukaryota; Viridiplantae; Streptophyta; Magnoliopsida; Rosales; Rhamnaceae.
AUUUUCACGGGAAAAUAUUUAAAUAUACAAAUAUAUAAAUUAACUUUUUACGCUGUUCUUGAUAGUAAUACAAAUGUAAACCCCUUUUUAAUAUAAUAUAUAUAUAUAUAUAUAUUCUCUUAACUAUUUGAAUAUUGAAUUGAGAAUCUUUAUAACGGCUAGUUUCGGAUCACACAGCCACAAUAAUCUUGCCUCCUCUAUCCCCUUUCCAAACCAAAUAGCCCUUUACUCUUCCUGAAAUUGGCUGAAGCAAAAUUCAGUUUUCCUAGAAACCAAUCACUCCCAUGAAAGCACAAGAAGCAAAGGGUUCAGAAAAGGCAACUUCUUUCAAGGGCAGUCAGAUACCUUUUUAAUUGCAGCGAAUGCCCGAUUUCGCAGCAACGACUUCAAAGCCAAAUUGGGGCUGGUUCCACCAGUUGUCGAACUCGUCAAUGACGCUGAAUGGCUUUUACGACUCCUCUCAAGUCUGGCUGAAGAUUGGCUCGAUCUUUCGGGUGAGGGCAAAUUGCCGGUAACGAUGCCGUGUGAGCCAGAGCCGUCGUGGUCUGGUAGUAGGCGGAGAUGGUAUUGGUAGGGUUAGGGUUUUGGAAGGUGUUGGCCGUAGAGGACGAUGGUGGGGUGGGGAAAAAGAGAGAGGGAUUCAGGUUUUGAAGGCGAAGCGUCAUCGUCUUGUUGUUGUUUCUUGUUUGUCAAGAACGAAAGAGGUUGAUCUCCACCACGUUAAUAUCAAUCUGAAGAAUAUUCGUAGGGCUUCGUUGGACGCUUACAGGAAAUCAAAAUUAUCCACGAAAUUGCCUAGAGGUGUCGUUCUAUGUAGGGGGAUGCAGCAGAAGCCAGUUGAUGAUGCUGAAAGAAAUCGUUUCCUAUUUAACUAUCUUGAUUAUGCUUUUGCUGAAUUUAGGUUCGUCAACCUCCAUUUUAUCCUGCCAUGUUCACUAUUUGGGGAAGAUCGGCUACAAGCAAGGUUUCCCUUUAUCCCAACAAUCAAGCUAUCUUGAAGGCAGGCCAGAUCUCUCCACUGGAAAUCAAAUACUGGAAUGGUGGAGAAUAGAUUUUAUUGUAUUUUUUUUAGGUUUUUUUUUUUUUGGUAAUUUAGUAAGAUUAAGAGGUCGUUAGGACGAAAGAAAGGCCUAGGGAGGCUCGGAUGGAAAAUUUGUUUUAAUAAAAGAUAUGAUUUUUCUGGUUUGAGGGAAGAAGGGGCAGCUUGGGAUUGCCGAGGCUCUCUUCCCUCUGGGGUGUGUGGUAUGCUGUGUUGUCUUUCUUUUUCCUCUCUCACUUCCCGACUUUCCUUCUCUAAUUUUCUUUUCUCUGCAUGCUUUCUUCAAUCUCUCUCUGCUUUUCCUCUCCUCUUUCACUAUUUGAUUUCUCUCUUGAUUGCUCUUGUAAUUUGUCUCUCUAUUUUAUGCUCUGUUUUCUUUCUCUAUUUUUUUCUUUUUUUCCCUUUACUUCCUCUUUUUUUAUGUAUCUAUACAUUUUCGGUCCACUUUUUUUCUAUACUUUUUCUCAAUUUCUUUGUCUGCAUUUAGUAUUUUUCCCUUUUAGUUUUCUCCUCUAUUUCUCAGCUUGCUUUUUAUCCUUCUACUCCUCUAUUUUUCUCUUUUUUCUGGUUUGAGGGAACUUUCCCUCUGAUUUUCACUCAUUGAUUUCUAGAGGCAUUUCUUUCUAGUUUCUUUCUUUCGGCUAGAUUGUUUAAAUCCACAUGCUAUCAAUGCUCAAUUUAUGUGAAAAUUUCAUUUAUGUCCUUAGGAAGCUAAAAAAUACAGCACAAAAUGGAAAAAGGUACAAAAUCAAUAUUAUUUUAUUAAAAACUUAUACACAAAAACAAAAAAGAAAAGAUGAUUACAAAAAAAUGGAACUAAAAAAAAAAAAAAAAAAAGAUGUGUUUACCUAAAAAUGAAAAGUUAAAUGGAGAAAAUGAGGAAACACCCUAAAUAAGAUGAGAAAUUAAAUUUUAUAUAAACUAUAGUACCAUAUGUGUUUUCUGUUUUCUAUUUUCCUACUUUGUAUUUUAUCUAUUUUUAACUAUUAGAUAUAUAUGUAUGUGUGUGCGUAUAUAUAUAUAUAUAUAUGUGUGUGUGUGUGUGUGUGUGUGUGUAUACAUAUAAAAGUGUAAGGUUAUAUAUAGAAAAGAAUUGCAUGUAAUAAAAAAAACAUGUUAAGCAACCAGUAAACAACCUAAAAACAUAAUGAUCUAUAGUAUUUUUUUAAAAUAAGAAACUAAAAAAAUUAAAAUAUAAUAAUUACUUUUAAAACAUUUAACCUAAUAUAUGCAUAUAUAUAUAUACAUAAAUUAUUAAUAUUC